GUUUGGUUCAGUCUUACCUCUGGACCUACAGCCAGAACAGAAGGUUUGGUUCAGUCUUACCUUAUACCUACAGCCAGAACAGAAGGUUUGGUUCAGUCUUACCUUAUACCUCUGGACUUCCAGCCAGAACAGAAGGUUUGGUUCAGUCUUACCUUAUACCUCCGGACCUACAGCCAGAACAGAAGGUUUGGUUCAGUCUUACCUUAUACCUCUG
Oncorhynchus keta (chum salmon) is the source of this 214-nucleotide long non-coding RNA. RefSeq lists it as uncharacterized. The record is from RefSeq and is a predicted model, not a curated record. Lineage: Eukaryota; Metazoa; Chordata; Actinopteri; Salmoniformes; Salmonidae. The transcript is spliced from 3 exons.